GAUCUUCGGAUCUAGCCCCGCGCGGUUNCGUAACGCGUGGGAAUCUGCCCUUGGGUUCGGAAUAACAGUUAGAAAUGACUGCUAAUACCGGAUGAUGACUUCGGUCCAAAGAUUUAUCGCCCAAGGAUGAGCCCGCGUAGGAUUAGGUAGUUGGUGGGGUAAAGGCUCACCAAGCCGACGAUCCUUAGCUGGUCUGAGAGGAUGAUCAGCCACACUGGGACUGAGACACGGCCCAGACUCCUACGGGAGGCAGCAGUGGGGAAUAUUGGACAAUGGGCGAAAGCCUGAUCCAGCAAUGCCGCGUGAGUGAUGAAGGCCUUAGGGUUGUAAAGCUCUUUUACCAGGAUGAUAAUGACAGUACCUGGAGAAUAAGCUCCGGCUAACUCCGUGCCAGCAGCCGCGGUAAUACGGAGGGAGCUAGCGUUGUUCGGAAUUACUGGGCGUAAAGCGCACGUAGGCGGUACAUCAAGUCAGGGGUGAAAGCCCGGAGCUCAACUCCGGAACUGCCCUUGAAACUAGUGUACUAGAAUCUUGGAGAGGCGGGUGGAAUUCCGAGUGUAGAGGUGAAAUUCGUAGAUUUCGGAAGAACACCAGUGGCGAAGCGGCCGCUGGACAAGUAUUGACGCUGAGGUGCGAAAGCGUGGGGAGCAACAGGAUUAGAUACCCUGGUAGUCCAACGCCGUAAACGAUGAUACUAGCUGUCCGGGCACAUGGUGCUUGGGUGGCGCAGCUAACGCAUUAAGUUAUCCCGCCUGGGGAGUACGGUCGCAGAUUAAACUCNAAGGAUUGACGGGGCCUGCAACAAGCCGUGGAGCAUGUGGUUAAUCGAGCAACGCGCAGAACUUACCAGGUUGACAUCUCAUCGGAUGCAGAAAUGGUUCUUCAGU
This 887-nucleotide ribosomal RNA is filed under the name Agrobacterium sp. Pe6. Its description in RNAcentral is "bacterial SSU rRNA". It matches the Rfam family "Bacterial small subunit ribosomal RNA", at positions 72 to 1018 of the family's 1533-position model. The record is from RNAcentral. Lineage: Bacteria; Pseudomonadati; Pseudomonadota; Alphaproteobacteria; Hyphomicrobiales; Rhizobiaceae.